RNAcentral lists this non-coding RNA (47 nucleotides) under Alkalibacterium sp. AK22. Its description in RNAcentral is "Na+ riboswitch aptamer (DUF1646)". It matches the Rfam family "Na+ riboswitch aptamer (DUF1646)". Rfam says of the family: Proteobacteria, NC10, Acidobacteria, Verrucomicrobia. Lineage (Clostridia) The riboswitch of Na+ was first reported in a comparative analysis of intergenic regions and called DUF1646 RNA, it was also suggested that it acts as cis-reg RNA present upstream of Na+ genes. Afterward it was reported as a riboswitch that selectively senses Na+. The record is from Rfam by way of RNAcentral. RNAcentral also lists the same sequence under 1 other name. Lineage: Bacteria; Bacillati; Bacillota; Bacilli; Lactobacillales; Carnobacteriaceae.
GGUUGGGCGUAAGCUUUCAAGGACUAUUUCUUCUAGGGCGAGAAGAA